AGUGAACGCUGGCGGCAGGCCUAAUACAUGCAAGUCGAACGGCCGCACAGUAAGCGCUCGCUCCUACGGGUGGCGAGUGGCGGACGGGUGAGGCAUACAUCAGCAUCCUAUUUUUCUUGGGGGACAUCGUAGGGACACUGAUGCUACUACAGCAUAUGACCUACGGGUGAAAGCAGAGGAUCUUCGCACUCUGCCUGACUGAAUGAGACGAUGUCGGAUUAGCUAGUUGGCGGGGUAAAGGCCCACCAAGGCGACGAUGCGUAGCUGAUCUGAGAGGAUGAUCAGCCACACUGGAACUGAGACACGGUCCAGACUCCUACGGGAGGCAGCAGUGGGGAAUAUUGGGCAAUGGGCGAAAGCCUGAUCGAGCCAUGCCGCGUGAGUGAAGAAGGUCUUCGGGUUGUAAAACCCUGUUAUUAGGAAAGAAAAGCAGCGGAAGAAUACGCCGCUGUUCUGACGGUACCCAAAGAGAAAGCAACGGCUAACUUCGUG
RNAcentral lists this ribosomal RNA (492 nucleotides) under uncultured bacterium. Its description in RNAcentral is "partial 16S ribosomal RNA". It matches the Rfam family "Bacterial small subunit ribosomal RNA", at positions 29 to 507 of the family's 1533-position model. The record is from RNAcentral.